GGGGUGGGGAGUCUGACGGAGCCCGCCGCGUGAGUGAUGAAGGCUUUCGGAUCGUAAAGCUCUGUUGUUAGGGAAGAACAUGUGCGUAUCCGAUGAAGAGGCCCCUUGACGGUACCUAACCGCAACGCCACGGCUAACUACGUGCCUACAGCCGCGGUAAUACGUAGGUGGCAAGCGUUAUCCGGAAUUAUUGGGCGUAAAGCGCGCGCAUGCGGUUUCUUAACUCUGAUGUGAAAGCCCCCGGCGCAACCGGGGAGGGUCAUUGAAAACUGGGGAACUUGAAUGCAAAAGAUGAAAGUGGAAUUCCAUGUGUAGCGGUGAAAUGCGUAAAGAUAUGGAGGAACACCAGUGGCGAAGGCGACUCUCUGGUCUGUAACUGACACUGAGGCGCGAAACCGUGGGGAGCCAACCCGAUUACAUACCCUGGUAGUCCACGCCGUAAACGAUCAGUGCUAAGUGUUACGGGGUUUCCGCCCCUUAGUGCUGGGAGAGAGAGCAUUAACACUCCGCCUGGGGAGAG
RNAcentral lists this ribosomal RNA (520 nucleotides) under Bacillus subtilis. RNAcentral describes it as "bacterial SSU rRNA". It matches the Rfam family "Bacterial small subunit ribosomal RNA", at positions 372 to 882 of the family's 1533-position model. Lineage: Bacteria; Bacillati; Bacillota; Bacilli; Caryophanales; Bacillaceae. The record is from RNAcentral.